Molecule: ribosomal RNA, 478 nt
Filed under: uncultured bacterium
Lineage: Bacteria
Description: partial 16S ribosomal RNA
Rfam family: Bacterial small subunit ribosomal RNA
Source: RNAcentral
AUGAACGCUGGCGGCGUGCUUAACACCUGCAAGUCGAGCGAGAAGUUUUGAAAAGAUUCUUCGGCUGAAAUUUAAAAUGGAAAGCGGCGGACGGGUGAGUAACGCGUAGGCAACCUGCCCCAUACAAAGGGAUAGCAUUUGGAAACGAAUAUUAAUACCUUAUGAAACUUAACUAGUGCAUGCUAGGUAGGUCAAAGAUUUAUCGGUAUGGGAUGGGCCUGCGUCUGAUUAGCUAGUUGGUGAGGUAACGGCUCACCAAGGCGACGAUCAGUAGCCGACCUGAGAGGGUGAACGGCCACAUUGGAACUGAGACACGGUCCAAACUCCUACGGGAGGCAGCAGUGGGGAAUAUUGCACAAUGGGGGAAACCCUGAUGCAGCAACGCCGCGUGAACGAUGAAGGCCUUUGGGUCGUAAAGUUCUGUUCUAGGUGAUGAAAACUGACAGUAACCUAGGAGAAAGCCCCGGCUAACUCCGUG